UUGCUCUUCAACGAGGAAUGCCUAGUAAGCGCAUGUCAUCAGCAUGCGUUGAUUACGUCCCUGCCCUUUGUACACACCGCCCGUCGCUACUACCGAUUGAAUGGCUCAGUGAGGCCUUCGGACUGGCCCAGGGAGGUCGGCAACGACCANCCCAGGGCCGGAAAGUUCGUCAAACUUGGUCAUUUAGAGGAAGUAAAAGUCGUAACAAGGUCUCCGUAGGUGAACCUGCGGAGGGAUCAUUACUGAGUGAGGGCCUUCUGGUCCGACCUCCAACCCCAUGUUAUCCGACACUGUUGCCUCCGGGGCGACCCGGCCUUCGGGCGUCGGGGCCCCGGGUGGACCAUUCAAACACUGCAUCUUUGCGUCUGAGUACACGAUUGAAUCAAUCAAAACUUUCAACAACGGAUCUCUUGGUUCUGGCAUCGAUGAAAAACGCAGCGAAAUGCGAUAAGUAAUGUGAAUUGCAGAAUUCAGUGAAUCAUCGAAUCUUUGAACGCACAUUGCGCCCCUUGGUAUUCCGAGGGGCAUGCCUGUUCGAGCGUCAUUUCACCACUCAAGCCUGGCUUGGUAUUGGGCGCCGCGGUCCGCCGCGCGCCUUAAUGUGUCCGGCUGAGCCGUCCGUCUCUAAGCGUUGUGGUAACCUAUCCGCUUGCGAGAUCGGGGGGCGUCUGGCCGUUAAACUCAUUCAAAGGUUGACCUCGGAUCAGGUAGGGAUACCCGCUGAACUUAAGCAUAUCAAUAAGCGGAGGA
This 750-nucleotide ribosomal RNA is filed under the name uncultured fungus. RNAcentral describes it as "eukaryotic LSU rRNA". The stretch from base 1 to 242 matches the Rfam family "Eukaryotic small subunit ribosomal RNA", at positions 1593 to 1831 of the family's 1831-position model. The record is from RNAcentral. Lineage: Eukaryota; Fungi.